CCCACGAAAAGUUUCUUAUGAAACCGGAAGCAGAGAAAGAACAUCUUUGUCUAAGGACCUAAAUAAAAAAACAAACCAGUCUGAUUUCAUCUACAAUUCUGCGAUUUCAGGGUAGUUUAGAAGCAGAGGACCUCAAGGAGGGGGGAGGGGUACCCACGUGAUCCAGCAGGUGUGAUGCUACACCCAGCCAGAGGGUGGCAGCACCUUCCACACGCCCUGUGAGCAUCUCUUCUGACCACUCCAGGGCGUUUUUAUGGGAUGGCCUUCCCUUGCUCACCCAGCCUCUUCUUUAUUUUCUUCUGCUUUGUGAAAGUGGGUUAAACAGCACUCGGCUUUGUGAGGAACACGGCCAACAAAUGAGAUAUCAAACGCAGCUUCCUGUGUAAGAGAUCAGACUCCGCCGGGCACACACGCCGGGCUCUGCUGGAGCUCCUGGGCUCUGCAGCCAGCUUCAUUUAGGAUUCAUAAAUACUUUUGCGCGCUCCCGCACAUACAGCCGCCAGAGGAAUUUCAUUCUGUAUCAUCUGCUUUCAAAUGCAACAAGGUAUUUCUGCUUUGUGGAUUGUCUGGAGUCCUCUGGACCAGAAGCACUACUGCCCACAGAAAAAGAGGAACUGGAAAAGGGGAGAAAACCCACCUAGGAGAUGCGGUGCUGACUGAGACAAAGUGGAUCGUUUCCAUUUCUGAAGUUGGGAGCACCUCCAGCUCACACAGUCACUUCCCCUGUCAGAGAAAUUGCAGCCAUUCUCUGUUUACUAUGAGAUGAAGUUCAAAUAUGGCAUCAAAUACCCUCCCAAACAAGCACCUCAGUAUUUCUCAAGUUCUUCUCUGUUCUGAAUAUUCUCCUCCAAUGAGGGGUUGCUCAUUUAUCUUCCCACUUUUCAUCUAUUUAUUCAUUAAAGAAACAAUUAUUGAAUGUCAA
Long non-coding RNA from Bubalus bubalis (water buffalo), 922 nucleotides. RefSeq lists it as uncharacterized. NCBI's taxonomy places the organism in Eukaryota, Metazoa, Chordata, Mammalia, Artiodactyla, Bovidae. The transcript is spliced from 3 exons. The record is from RefSeq and is a predicted model, not a curated record.